CGUGAGCUCACAGGUUCUAAGGAGGCUUGGAGCCAGAGCUCAGCGUGUGACCAGCCCUUGUGACUCAGAGCCCGUGAGCAGGCCCCGACAGACGGCUGCUUUGAUUCUCCGCACUCCCAUGUUGCAUGUCCUGUUUAUGAACCUCUGCAUCCCUGACUCCGCAAAUGGAUAAAGGAGGGAAAAAUCCAAUAAAGACUAAGAAGGAAAGCAAGUGUUUCUCAGCUUUUCCCCCCCAUAUGCGACUUCAGUGGCUCCUCCGCUCUUCUAACCAUCUCGCCUGCCUGUGAGACCCAGCCGUAAACAGAGACGAGUUAAUCCAGACUCCUCCUCACAUCUGCUCAGCACAGAGACAGGGUCUCACUAUAUUGCCCAGGCUGGAGUGCAGUGGCUAUUCACAGGCCCGAUCCCACUACUGAUCAGCACGGGAGUUUUGACCUGCUCCGUUUCCGACCUGGCCAGUUCACCCCUCCUUAGGCAACCUGGUGGUCCCCCGCUCCCGGAAGGUCACCAUAUUGAUGCCGAACUUCGUGCGGACACCGAUCGGCAUAGCGCACUGCAGCCCAGAACUCCUGGACUCAAGCGAUCCUCCCACCUCAGCCUCCCGAGUAGCUGGGACUACCAGGCGCACGCCAUCACCCCCGGCCACAGUUCACUUUUAAGCAGGGUAUAAUAACAGCAUGUGUACAUAUAUAUGUAUAAUACAUAUAUAUGUAAAUUUGAUAGAUAUGCAAAUGUGGCAAAAAUAAAUAUUAAAAUUAGUGAACCCA
Cavia porcellus (domestic guinea pig) is the source of this 767-nucleotide long non-coding RNA. RefSeq lists it as uncharacterized. Lineage: Eukaryota; Metazoa; Chordata; Mammalia; Rodentia; Caviidae. The transcript has 3 exons. The record is from RefSeq and is a predicted model, not a curated record.